CAUGCAAGUCGAGGGGCAGCAUCGCGAUAGCUUGCUAUUGCGGAUGGCGACCGGCGCACGGGUGAGUAACGCGUAUCCAACCUUCCCGCAACUGGGGAAUAACCUUGCGAAAGUAAGACUAAUACCCCAUGGUCUCCACGGAUGGCAUCUGAAGUGGAGUAAAGGUUCCGGCCGGUUGCGGAUGGGGAUGCGUCCGAUUAGCUUGACGGCGGGGUAACGGCCCACCGUGGCAUCGAUCGGUAGGGGUUCUGAGAGGAAGGUCCCCCACAUUGGAACUGAGACACGGUCCAAACUCCUACGGGAGGCAGCAGUGAGGAAUAUUGGUCAAUGGGCGGAAGCCUGAACCAGCCAAGUAGCGUGAAGGACGACUGCCCUAUGGGUUGUAAACUUCUUUUAUGCGGGGAUAAAGUUCGCCACGUGUGGCGUUUUGCAGGUACCGCAUGAAUAAGGACCGGCUAAUUCCGUGCCAGCAGCCGCGGUAAUACGGAAGGUCCAGGCGUUAUCCGGAUUCAUUGGGUUUAAAGGGAGCGUAGGCCGCCUUUUAAGCGUGUUGUGAAAUGUAGGGGCUCAACCCCUGCACUGCAGCGCGAACUGGAGGGCUUGAGUACACACAAAGUAGGCGGAAUUCAUGG
This 632-nucleotide ribosomal RNA is filed under the name uncultured bacterium. RNAcentral's name for it is "bacterial SSU rRNA". It matches the Rfam family "Bacterial small subunit ribosomal RNA", at positions 54 to 673 of the family's 1533-position model. The record is from RNAcentral.